This 430-nucleotide long non-coding RNA is filed under the name Pandoravirus salinus. RNAcentral describes it as "putative ncRNA". The record is from RNAcentral.
UGCGCACCGGUCCAGCGGCCUGUGGGAAAAGAAACAGGUGGCUCCCUGGCGACAUCUCGCUGAUGUAGCGCGCCGCAUCAGGGAAAGCAGCAAACAGGUCCAGAUCGGCGCACCCCGCGUCCACAAGAGAUGACUGUUCGUCCUCAUCGUCAUCGUCGCUAUCGCCAGUGUCCAGCGUAGACACAAUGUAUGCGAGGGCGUCAUUGACAGCGGACCUCGUGGCCACGUCGUCGAUGAUGGGUUGAGUGGCGGGAGCGUCACGCGGGUCCAUGGCCGCCACGUAAUAGCGAAUGUCCUGUGGCAAGGGUGACGUCUGGAGGUAGAGCCGUGGCCGAUAGUCAUCGUCUCUCGCCUGCACGAAAUAGGCGGUGACGUCGCCGAGCAUGUCACUGUUUUGAUCGCCGUCAAUAAAACUGGCGUAGGACACGGG